UGGGGGAUGAAUGGCUUCGGCCCGUAAACCCCUGUCAUUCGCGAUCAAGGCGUAUUAUUUAAAAGAUGAUGCGUUGAUAGUAGCGGAAGAGGAAGGGGCGGCUAACUCUGUGCCAGCAGCCGCGGUAAUACAGAGGUCCCGAGCGUUGUUCGGAUUCACUGGGCGUAAAGGGUGCGCAGGUGGUGGGGUAAGUCGGAUGUGAAAUCUCGGAGCUUAACUCCGAAAUGGCAUUGGAAACUGCCCUGCUAGAGGGUCGGAGGGGGGACUGGAAUGCUUGGUGUAGCAGUGAAAUGCGUAGAUAUCAAGCGGAACACCAGUGGCGAAGGCGAGUCCCUGGACGACUCCUGACACUGAGGCACGAAAGCUAGGGGAGCAAACAGGAUUAGAUACCCUGGUAGUCCUAGCCGUAAACGGUGCACGUUUGCUGUAAAAGGAAUCGACCCCUUUUGUGGCGUAGCUAACGCGUUAAACGUGCCGCCUGGGAAGUACGGUCGCAAGAUUA
RNAcentral lists this ribosomal RNA (502 nucleotides) under uncultured Verrucomicrobiota bacterium. Its description in RNAcentral is "bacterial SSU rRNA". It matches the Rfam family "Bacterial small subunit ribosomal RNA", at positions 402 to 896 of the family's 1533-position model. Lineage: Bacteria; Pseudomonadati; Verrucomicrobiota. The record is from RNAcentral.